This 711-nucleotide small RNA is filed under the name Saccharomyces cerevisiae YJM451. RNAcentral describes it as "RUF5-2". Lineage: Eukaryota; Fungi; Ascomycota; Saccharomycetes; Saccharomycetales; Saccharomycetaceae. The record is from RNAcentral.
AACAAAGUAUCUAAACAAAAUACAUAAGUGUACUCAAACUGAGUAGAAUCGUCGAUUAAACUUCCUUCUCCUUUUAAAAAUUAAAAACAGUAAAUAGUUAAAUGAAUAUAUUAAAGACUAUUCGUUUUAUUUCCCAGAGCAGCAUGAUUUCUUGGUUUCUUCAGACUUGUUACCGCAGGGGCAUUUGUCGUCGCUGUUACACCCCGUUGGGCAGCUACAUGAUUUUUGGCAUUGUUCAUUAUUUUUGCAGCUACCACAUUGGCAUUGGCACUCAUGACCUUCAUUUUGGAAGUUAAUUAAUUCGCUGAACAUUUUAUGUGAUGAUUGAUUGAUUGAUUGUACAGUUUGUUUUUCUUAAUAUCUAUUUCGAUGACUUCUAUAUGAUAUUGCACUAACAAGAAGAUAUUAUAAUGCAAUUGGUACAAGACAAGGAGUUAUUUGCUUCUCUUUUAUAUGAUUCUGACAAUCCAUAUUGCGUUGGUAGUCUUUUUUGCUGGAACGGUUCAGCGGAAAAGACGCAUCGCUCUUUUUGCUUCUAGAAGAAAUGCCAGCAAAAGAAUCUCUUGACAGUGACUGACAGCAAAAAUGUCUUUUUCUAACUAGUAACAAGGCUAAGAUAUCAGCCUGAAAUAAAGGGUGGUGAAGUAAUAAUUAAAUCAUCCGUAUAAACCUAUACACAUAUAUGAGGAAAAAAUAAUACAAAAGUGUUUU